UCCUACGGGAGGCAGCAGUGAGGAAUUUUGCACAAUGGGGGCAACCCUGAUGCAGCGACGCCGCGUGAGUGAUGAAGGCUUUCGGGUCGUAAAACUCUGUUGUUAGGGAAGAACAAGUGCUAGUUGAAUAAGCUGGCACCUUGAUGGUACCUAACCAGAAAGCCACGGCUAACUACGUGCCAGCAGCCGCGGUAAUACGUAGGUGGCAAGCGUUAUCCGGAAUUAUUGGGCGUAAAGCGCGCGCAGGUGGUUUCUUAAGUCUGAUGUGAAAGCCCACGGCUCAACCGUGGAGGGUCAUUGGAAACUGGGAGACUUGAGUGCAGAAGAGGAAAGUGGAAUUCCAUGUGUAGCGGUGAAAUGCGUAGAGAUAUGGAGGAACACCAGUGGCGAAGGCGACUUUCUGGUCUGUAACUGACACUGAGGCGCGAAAGCGUGGGGAGCAAACAGGAUUAGAUACCCUGGUAGUCCACGCCGUAAACGAUGAGUGCUAAGUGUUAGAGGGUUUCCGCCCUUUAGUGCUGAAGUUAACGCAUUAAGCACUCCGCCUGGGGAGUACGGCCGCAAGGCUGAAACUCAAAGGAA
This 582-nucleotide ribosomal RNA is filed under the name uncultured bacterium. Its description in RNAcentral is "bacterial SSU rRNA". It matches the Rfam family "Bacterial small subunit ribosomal RNA", at positions 337 to 909 of the family's 1533-position model. The record is from RNAcentral.